RNAcentral lists this long non-coding RNA (1894 nucleotides) under Fragaria vesca (wild strawberry). RNAcentral's name for it is "long non-coding RNA (FVES_LNC005378)". Lineage: Eukaryota; Viridiplantae; Streptophyta; Magnoliopsida; Rosales; Rosaceae. The record is from RNAcentral.
AAUUUUGAAAACUUGUAUUGGUGAUUCGGAGUCGGAAUAUAACAAUAAUCAUUUGAUUAUAAAUUGAACAAUGAUAACUAAAAAUUUCUAGCAAAAAUUAGACGAAAUAAUACGUAAAAAGAGGUACCAAAUAGUAAAUAUAUAUUAAUUAUAUUAAAUAACGGAAUAUUUCAUAAAUUAAGGACGUUUUAGGCAGUUUGGAAUGUGUAUUAAGUAUAAUACUAAAAUGAAAAACUUGAUAGGUGGUGUAUUAAGUAAGGGGUGUGUAUUAAGAUAUUAGAAAAUUUCAUAUAAGUCACAUUCUGAACAUUUUCUCCUACAUAAGUCCACCAUAACAGUUUUACUCAUAUAAGUCCACUUUUAAGGCUAAAUCUGUUAUUUUACUUUUACGAUGUACCUAAAAUGGCCUCCUCUCCUUUACACCAAUUCUCUCUCUCUCUCUNNNNNNNNNNNNNNNNNNNNAUCGGAAACCUCACAGUAGUAGCUUUUGUAGGUGGUGGUAGUAGCUUUUGUAGGUGGUGGUAGUAGCUUUUGUAGCUGGUGGUAGUAGCUUUUGUAGCUGGUGGUAGUAGCUUUUGUCGCUAGUGGUAGUAGCUUUUGUGUUCGUCGAAAACCUCACAGUAGUAGUUUUUGUAGGCGGUGGUAGUAGCUUUUGUAGCUUGUGGUAGUAGUUUUUGUGGCUGGUGGUAGUAGCUUUUGUUUUCAUCAGAAACCUCACAGUAGUAGCUUUUGUAGGCGGUGGUAGUAGCUUUUGUUAGCUUGUGGUAGUAGUUUUUGUGGCUGGUGGUAGUAGCUUUGUUUUCAUCAGAAACCUCACAGUAGUAGCUUUUGUAGGCGGUGGUAGUAGCUUUUAUAGCUGGUGGUAGUAGCUUUUUUAGCUUGUAGUAGUAAUUUUUGUCAUCGUCGGAGGUCGGCCGGAAACCUCGCCGGAGGUCGGUCGGAAAUCUCGCCGGAGGUCGGCCGGAAACUUUUGUAGUAGCUUUUGUAGGCGAUGGUAAUAGCUUUUAUAGCUGGUGGUAGUAGCUUUUUUAGCUGGUAGUAGUAAUUUUUGUCAUCGUCGGAGGUCGGCCGGAAACCUCGCCGGAGGUCAGUCGGAAAUCUCGCCGGAGGUCGGCCGGAAACUUCGCCGGAAACCUCGCCGGAGGUCCGCUGGAAAUCUCGCCGGAGGUCCGCCGGAGACUGUUCCGAAAUGAGAGUGGUUGUUGACUUUUUAUACUAAUGGCAUUCUUGUAAAUAUAAAGGAGAAAAUCUAAUUUUUUUUGUUGGAUGGCAGUCUGUAAUUAUGUUGAACUUUAAUACUUAAUACAAAACUUUAUUUAGACUUGGGUGGACUUAUGUGGGUAAAAAUGUUGGGGUGGAUUUAUUUGGGAAAAAAUGUCUCAAAGUGAACUUAUAUGUAAUUGGCCCUUAAGAUAUUAGGGGUGUGUAUUUAAAAUUUCUCUAAAUGUAAACUUUGUAACUUUCACCUUCAAUAAUUUAUUCAAUCUUAAGAACCAUUUUUAUUUCCAGAAAGUCAACAUUUAUGUGAUUUUUCUCAUCUAAAUGGUAGAUAUUUCUCAUGAAAAUAGUAGUUGUGUAUUAUGUUAAAUGUAAACUUUGCAACUUUCACCUUCCAUUAUUGAUUCAAUCUCAAGAACAAUUUUGAUUUCGAGAAAGUCUACUUUUUUAUGAUUUUGCUCUUCUAAAUGGUAGACAUUUCUCUUGAAAAUAGUAGUUGGGUCUUAUGUUAAAUGUAGACUUUGCAAUUUUCACCUUCAAUAAUUGAUUUAUUCUUAAGAACCAUUUUUAUUUCCAGAAAGUCUACAUUUAUAUGAUUUUUCUCAUCUAAAUGGUAGAUAUUUCUCAUGAAAAUAGUAAUUGUGUCUUAUGUUAAAUGUAGACUUUGCAACUUUCA